GUAGUUUUAGUUUUAAUUUUUUCCAUUGAAAUUAUCUUCCGUUCCAUUCAUAAUUGGAUUACGAAUUUCCUUCGUUAUCAGAGGUGUUUACUUUCUGUAGCAGACAAAUGGAUGUUGUAGAGGAAACUGGCGGGCUGAUAAGGGAGCCGAUAAUAACAAUCUGUGAAUUAAGUGACUAUGCACAGGGACUUGAUGAAAAAGACAAACGACAAUAUGUAGAAAAACUAGUUAAAUGUGAAAUAGAUUGCCCAUUAUAAUUAAUUAAUUAAUUAUUAUAACGAAGGGCACAGUUUUUCGAUAACAACGGCUUCCACUACCCACAUUUGUUGUGGAAUAAAAAAUGGGCAAUCUUAUUAAAUUUUAGUAUUUUUGGUGGGAAACGAAUGAAAGUGAACAAUUUUUGUAAUGGGUGUAGUUUACAAUGCCUGAACUUUCAAUAUUUUCAAAAAAUCUUGAACCGAUAGCAAAGAAUCGGUUGUUAGAGCUUUUGUCGUCGUUGAAAAUUGAUGAUCCAAACUGGAUUGACGAAAAUCUUUGGAAAAAAUAUCGUGAUGCCAUUCCAAUUGUUCCGGCAGUGACGUGGCCUAAGCUAAUUGACUAUUUUCAAAAUGAAAAAAAGUUGAAAUACUGGAGAACCACUGCAAGUUCAAAAAGAAGUUAUUGCUGCCAUGGAGCAAAAUCUGGAUAACCCAUCGUUUAGGGACUUUAGUGGGUUAGAGCUGACAAGCAACACAGUCGUGCUGAAAGCCAAGGUUACAGCAUCAAAAACAUUAAGUACAACGUACUAUCCUUGGGUAGCCUGUGCUAAGGGCGGCAUGGUUCAAUUUGCUCAUUGCACAUGUCCAGCAGGGUAAUAUUUAAUAAGUAUAUUAAUUAGUUAUAUAAGUAUGAUUCCAUUCUUUGCUAAAACAGUUUUCGACACAGCAAUAACGCCUAACCAUUUUUUAAAACAAAGAAGAGAAUGAGAAAUAAUCUGUAAACUGACAGUUGGCUGGUACUAUUUAUCUGAAAUUGCCAAUGCUUUUUUGUUUGAGGUUGCACCAAACUGGGAGAAAUACCUAUCCAAGAUGGCAACCUCGAACCACUCUAUUCAAUGAGAACUCUGGAAAUGUGAAUGCAGUAACUGUUAAACAGUACCCCAAAAUCGGCUUUGGAAUUUGUAUUCUUUUAUUCGAUUUUGGUGGCUUUUAAAAAUAUUUCGAAUAAAGAAUACAAAUAGAAUAAAACUUUAAA
Molecule: long non-coding RNA, 1233 nt
Organism: Daphnia magna
Lineage: Eukaryota; Metazoa; Arthropoda; Branchiopoda; Diplostraca; Daphniidae
Exons: 3
Source: RefSeq, a predicted model, not a curated record